AUUGAACGCUGGCGGCAGGCCUAACACAUGCAAGUCGAACGAGUGGCGGACGGGUGAGUAAGGUCUGGGCAACUGCAUGAUGGAGGGGUAUAAAUACUGGAAACGGUAGCUAAUACCCCAUACCAUCAGAUGUGCCCAGAUGGGAGUAGCUGUCUGGUGGGCGAACGGCUCAACAAGGAGACGAUCCCUAGCUGGUCUGAGAGGAUGACCAGCCACACUGGGACUGAGGCACGGUCCAGACUCCGACGGGAGGCAGCAGUGGGGAAUAUUGCACAAUGGGCGCAAGCCGGAUGCAGCCAUGCCGCGUGUAUGAAGAAGGCCUGCGGAUUGUAAAGUACGUUCAGCGGGGAGGCGUUACCCGCAGAAGAAGCACCGGCUAACUCCGUGCCAGCAGCCGCGGUAAUAC
RNAcentral lists this ribosomal RNA (406 nucleotides) under uncultured bacterium. RNAcentral describes it as "partial 16S ribosomal RNA". It matches the Rfam family "Bacterial small subunit ribosomal RNA", at positions 29 to 526 of the family's 1533-position model. The record is from RNAcentral.